RNAcentral lists this long non-coding RNA (761 nucleotides) under Citrus sinensis (sweet orange). RNAcentral's name for it is "long non-coding RNA (CSIN_LNC002455)". The record is from RNAcentral. Lineage: Eukaryota; Viridiplantae; Streptophyta; Magnoliopsida; Sapindales; Rutaceae.
UAUCUUAGACCAAUUAUUAUUAAAAGAAAAUAUCUCCAGUUUCUCACAUCUCACAUAGAACAAUCUCUUCUUGUGGUAGAACAAAUCGCUAUCGACUCAAACCUUGCUGCUGAGACCACCACAGCCUGUAUGUCGAUUUCUAGGGAGCCAUGUUAUGCUAAGAAAAAUUGAGGAGGUUUGAGAUCUCAUUUUCUCUUUAUUUUUAAUCGUAGAAUUGAUUAUUGCUUUAAAGUUUCUCUUAAUUCUUUAAUGACGGUUUUGAAAUCAAAUUAACCUCAUUUUGUUUUCUUUUAUUUAUUUUGUAGUCAUAAUCAUUUUCAAUUUCAGUUAAUUUGGCAAAUUUUGCAUCCUGACAAGUGCGACAUUAUGGUUGUAUGCAAAUAUAUAUUUUUUUUAAAAAAUAUGAUUAGAUUAUUAAUUAGAUCAAUUUCUUUAGGCUGACAGUAUGAAAAGAAACGGAAAAACAAAUGGGUUUUAGUGAUAUCGAGUACAAGCGGUGGAUGCCAACUGUUUUUUAUAAUGGUAUAAUAGAAUAAGCUUGUUUAAUAUUAAGGUUGAACAGUUGUAAUUUAAAAAGUAAAGUAUACAAAGUGUUUGGUAAAUAUUAGUUGUUGUGACUUAGAAGAUAAAUUGAUUUAAUCUAAUAGUUAUGUGAUGAAAAACUCAUAAUAUAUUUAUUAUUUUUAUUAAAAUUAUUAUUUAAAGUCUUAUUUAUUAUAUAUUAUUAAUUUUUAUUUUAUAGUUACAAAUUUUUUCCACAA